CCUACGGGUGGCAGCAGUGGGGAAUAUUGGACAAUGGGCGAAAGCCUGAUCCAGCCAUGCCGCGUGUGUGAAGAAGGCCUUCGGGUUGUAAAGCACUUUCAGUGGGGAAGAAAGCCUUGGGGCUAAUACCCUCGAGGAAGGACAUCACCCACAGAAGAAGCACCGGCUAACUCCGUGCCAGCAGCCGCGGUAAUACGGAGGGUGCGAGCGUUAAUCGGAAUUACUGGGCGUAAAGCGCGCGUAGGCGGUCUGAUAAGCCGGUUGUGAAAGCCCCGGGCUCAACCUGGGAACGGCAUCCGGAACUGUCUGGCUAGAGUGCAGGAGAGGAAGGUAGAAUUCCCGGUGUAGCGGUGAAAUGCGUAGAGAUCUGGAGGAAUACCAGUGGCGAAGGCGGCCUUCUGGACUAACACUGACGCUGAGGUGCGAAAGCGUGGGUAGCAAACAGGAUUAGAUACCCCAGUAGUC
Molecule: ribosomal RNA, 465 nt
Filed under: Vreelandella stevensii
Lineage: Bacteria; Pseudomonadati; Pseudomonadota; Gammaproteobacteria; Oceanospirillales; Halomonadaceae
Description: partial 16S ribosomal RNA
Rfam family: Bacterial small subunit ribosomal RNA
Source: RNAcentral